Caenorhabditis elegans is the source of this 426-nucleotide long non-coding RNA. Ensembl annotates it as ncRNA. Its record names the gene linc-115. Lineage: Eukaryota; Metazoa; Nematoda; Chromadorea; Rhabditida; Rhabditidae. The record is from Ensembl.
UUUUGAAAUUUAGAAUCAUCCCUAAAAUUUUUCAGAACAUUGUGCAUUGCCGGAACACCUUGAAACGCGUUCUAGCAGUUGAGAGUUCAUUUAAAAAAAUAAGCACAAUGCAAGCACUUGACUGGCCGUAUCUCAUCAUUCUCGUUGCCAUCGUUGGAGUCAUCUCUUGGAUCGGCUAUAGAUGUUACAUGGGAGGCCAUCAAAAACCUCUACCUCCCGUAACUGGUCAAAUGUACAGAAAUGCAUAAGCUGCAGUAACACUUGUUGGCUUAGGAUAACUGAUAAUUCGAAAUGUCUCCGUAUAUAUGUUUUUUAACCAACUUACACUUUUUUCUUUUAGCAAAAAAUUAAAUUGUAGCAACCAUAAUCAUUGGUGUGUUUUCAUAUCAAAAUUACUGUCAGUUUGCAAUAAAAUAAAAUUGAAUU